AGCAUUUACUGUUGCCGUUUAUAAAACAUUGCUAAAAGCCCGACAAACUUUUGCAUGCGUUAAACAUACAUUAAGAAGAAACGAAACUUAAUAGACACAAUAAACACGAUUUAGAAAUUAUUAUAGAUUACCGUUCACCUGAACGAUGAGCCCUAAGUCUAAUUGGCGACGAGAAGCAUAAUUGGAUAUAAAUGAAUAUAGCGAUACAUGUAUAUUGACUGCAAAGGUACCAGAGUACAAUACCAAUGUUUUCUACCCGGUUUUACAGAUUUACAUGUUUUUGUUAAUCACUCCAGGCAACUCAACAAAUGAUGCAAUUCGACCUUUCUUGUACAUUCCCAUUGGCCUUCUCAAUUUCCAUGAGUAAUGUGU
Molecule: long non-coding RNA, 372 nt
Organism: Ooceraea biroi (clonal raider ant)
Lineage: Eukaryota; Metazoa; Arthropoda; Insecta; Hymenoptera; Formicidae
Source: RefSeq, a predicted model, not a curated record